This 4806-nucleotide long non-coding RNA is filed under the name Bemisia tabaci. RNAcentral's name for it is "lncRNA ENSASIAIIG002260". The record is from RNAcentral. Lineage: Eukaryota; Metazoa; Arthropoda; Insecta; Hemiptera; Aleyrodidae.
UUACCAACCCACUACACAUAAAUCCCCUAGAAAUCAGGAAUCACUGCACUCCUCAUUUCCUUGUCAUGAAUUACGCUUCUGUUGUCAAAUCUGGAAUCAACUGACAGUGAGAGAGGAAAAACAGGUAAAUAUUAGUAACACAUAUUGCUGGGUGCUUUGUACCCGUUGAUGGGGGGGGGGGGGGUUUCAGGUUCUAAGCAGGAAAAAGUGCGGGAUAUAUUCUUCCUCAAGUAUGUAUUCAACGUUCACAAGGUAUUGUUAGGGCACAAAUUCCGUUAGAAUUGCCUAUGCUGUACCAUUCGUAUUUAGCCAUCAAAGCUGAUCUGAGCUUUGUGAGAUUAAUUUUUUUCCUUUUUUUGGAUUUCACGCACUACGAACUAGAAUGUAAAUGUAAGGCUAAGGCCACAAAAAAGAAAUACCCCCAAGGAUUUUGGUACGUUUUCCUGUUCCCCUCCCCUCCGGGCCCCAAAGUCUCCUCCACCCCCGCUCCUCCCUUCCCCUAAGCCGAGCAACUUUCCUCUUCCCCCUCCAGGGCUAUCGCGUCGCUCAAACUUUGUUAUUGCAGUGUUUUUAGGUUAAAUGGUGUGUUUUGUGUGCUUGAGACCUCGUAGAUAGUCAAAAUGUAAAAUACAAUUUUGUUAUUAUGCUUGCUUAGUUCUAAUGGCUGUUUAUAAAUUUGCUGAAAAGUGUUUUAAGAUAGUGGUCAAUAAUAGUUUCUACGUAUAUUUCGUAUUUUGUGUUCUGUGCCAUGCAUUCUCAACUUGUGUGCAAGUACCCACUCUCAGUGGAUUGUGUAUCAGAGAUAAUACUUCUUGUUCACAUCAGUUCGAUGUUUCCAAUGCACUGGAAGAAGAUCUAUGCUUCAUGAGAUACUUCCCAAGCACUGAUUGCAAUGAUCUUGUAACUGAAGGGGACUUCCUCGGGCACGCAACAGAGAUGCGCCUAUCGACGUAUCUCUAUGUAGAGGGCUACACAAGAAUAACUGCCUUUAAUAUCUCUUUUCAAGAAAUGAAGUGGAAUCGUUUGAAAAUGUGGUUUAAACCUAUUUCAAAUGAAUCGAAUGCAUCAAUGUGCCGUGAAUUUAGCUUGUCAAAGAAAGUGGAGUUGAAUAAUACAUUAUUUUUUGACUGCCUAUGGUCCAUGGAACGAUACGAGGGCACCUCUUAUCAAUUUCGCUAUGCUGCCUUCCUAGAUGAAGCCUCUGAUUUCCCUUUUGCUGCUAAAUAUGUUUUCCAAGUACCCUUAGCUGAAAGAAUUGAUUUCGAGCGAACGAAUGCCACAGAAUGGGAAGUCUUCAUGUACCUUGAUAUCAGUGCUCUUCCUCUUGUGACGUUACAUGUUCAAGAAGCACCCAGUCAUUUAAAAAUCAAGAGCUACAUCAUUGACGUGCAUCGCAAUUGGGGUAGCAGUUCAUGGACUGCUUCGUCUUUCACCAUUCCUGCCACGGAUGUAAAGAACGGUGAAAUUGUCCUCCAGUAUAAUGCUCGUUACAAACCUGGCAUCUAUCACUUCACUGUUUCAUUGAAUCAUGGUCGGUGUGGGGAACACCUCAAAAAGUGCUUUGUAUCGACAUCUCCGAAAUUUUUUGUCGUUUCAUCAAACCCUAAUCCACCCCUUCUGAUUGCUAUUGUUGGAGUUGUGGUCCUAAUUCCAAUUCUAGUCACCAUAUUUUUACUCUGGAGAAAACAAAUCCAUCCUGAAGUUCUUGAGAAAGCGCCUCCACGAAUGCUUAUAGUUUACAAUGGGAACUAUGCAGGCCAUGUUCGAGUUAUCAAAGAAUUCGCACGUUAUUUGAAUGAUGUGUGUGGCAUCGAUGCACUUUUAGAUUAUUACUGUGUACCUGAGUCUUCAUCUAAGGAUCCUGCAAAGUGGUAUGCUGAAACAUUCAAUACAGUGGACUACGUAGCUGUAUUUGCCUCCCCACCACAGUCUUACGCUCAGUGUGUUCAAAAAUAUGUCAGCCUCUAUCCCGAUAUGGAAGCUGUAGCCUUAAAUUUGCUCAGACGCCGGCUGGCCCAGAUUCCAUGCCUUACCCGAUUCCUCUCAGUGGUUUUGCCAUAUUGUUUACCCUCUACUUUAGGAGCAGAAGCUAAAGAUUUUACCAGGUUCAUGCUAUUUUCUGACCUAGAUAAAAUGUUAACAUAUAUUCGCGAAAACCGUAUACCAAUUUUCCCUCUUAAAGUGGAAGGAGGAGUGAACGAUCUCGAAACAAAAGGAGCUCAAUUAUUAGAAACUGUAAAAAGUGUUCAAAAGGAGUUAGAAAAUUGUGAAAUACUGAAACGAAAUGGAAGUAAAUUCGAACGUAGGAAAAGUGAUGGCAGUAAAGCAACAAAGAAUGAUUUCAGUGAAAUCGUCCAUGAAAUGGACCGAAGCAAGUGCACAAGUAGUAUUGAUAGUUCGCCGGAGGACAAUGAUUUCACUAUUUGUAAAGAUGACGAUAGUACUCUGAGAUCAAGAAAACUGACUCUUUGUUCAGAGCUCGAUUUUUCUCCAACACUGGAGAAUUUGGAUUUACUCCAAAAUGGCACAUCUCCCGUAAAAGAUGAUGCUGAUAAUGAUAUUCACCACUCUAGAAGUAAUUCAGAUUUAAAUAUAGAGCAUUUAAAUUUAUUAGGUUAAUCCUCUACCGUACGGAAAGGGCAUCAAAUGCUGAGCCAAGCGCUACCUCCAGUGGUGUGACAAGCAUCAUGUUACAGAAUCUUGUUUCAAUGCUGCACGAUGUAUGCUUGAAUCGUGAAAAAAUCAUGUCUGUUUUAAGGAAGAUUCGACUUUGAAUUGUUGGGAUGAGUUCUAUUGCUCUGUAUCAUGAUGUACGUCAACCAAACUUAAAGGAAAUAGUAUGUAGGACUUUAGCCUCCUGGCUAGAUUAGGUACGACAUAACAUUCGCCAGUAGCGCUAUCUUUUUGCCCCUUGAGGAUGUUAUCUGUGCAUGUAUUGCACAUUGACAUGCAUUUUGUCAGAUCUGUGAUAUACUUUUUGAUUUUACAGUUGGUUUGGGUGUUUUUUUAAUAAGUCCUUAAGUCAUGAUUCCCAAGAUAAAAUGAAAACGCACCGUUAUCUAAUAACAAACAAGAUCCAAAUGCAACCAUAAACCAAAGUGAGAAAACAAAAUAUGAGAUUUACAAGUCUCUCCUUGCAUUCAUUAUUAAAGCACUUUAAUCUUGAUGUAAUUUUAAGAGCCAGAUGUAUGUACUUAUUUAUUUUUUUUACAAGCUCUAACUUUAAUUCAAGACUGCUCAUGGAAUAACAAUAUGUUAUGUUUGACUGUCAAUUAAAUUGACAGCAGUGAUUUUUAUUAGACCCAGGACUUGUGAUCAUGAGAAUCGAUUUCAGUAGUGUAAAGGAAAAUUAAUUUUAUCUUACGAUAGUUUUUUUGAGUUUUGAUAAGUCUUUUAAAUAAUGUGCUCUUUGUGAGCAGUCUUUAAUUUAUUUUCUAUUAAUCCUUCUCAUUUCAUUUUGUCAUUAUCAAAUUUAUGAAGUUAGAAUUAGAGGCGAAUUUUAUUUAGUCUUCAGUGGAAAGAAACUUUUCUUGCAAGGCUUGUGCUAACUUAGAAAUACUGAAUUCCUGUCCAGCCAUUCAGCCUGAUUGUAAUCGGUGAAGUGAAAUCCGUGUUUUUUCGGUCAACAUGGACAUCUGUCACCUAGGUGAAGCCAGAUAACUACCCAGUUCAUGGAUUGUUCUUGUUUACCUAGAAAAAACAGAAACCUACCAUUUUAUUUUUGUGUUACAGCACUAUUUGGAAAAUCAGAUUUAAAAUCUUUACUUGAUUCACAAGUGAAUUCCGCUUUAUGUAUUAAAAAUGUUAAAGCUCAAGUUUUUAAAAACAUUGUACGUACAAGCUUCAGGGAAUUUAAACAACUUUUUUGUAUUCAAGGAAUAUUUGCGGUAAAUCCAUUCAAAUGUGAUACGUUUCUCUUGAGAAAAUAGGAAAAGCGAGAAUAGGUAAUCGUCGAAAAACGGUGAAAUUUGCAUUAUUUAUUCAAACGGUUUACCAAAGUUUUUGCAGAAUUUAUUUUGUCUCUAAUCAGCAAGAUACUUUCAAAAAUUUCAUGUAAAAAAUGGCUGGAUCAAAAGUACAUAAUUUUUUAAUCUUUCAAGUUUCACAAGGAAGUGUGCUUCUCUCAAUUUUUCAGGAUAUAUUCUCCUGGUGUCUUUUUUAGCCGUGUACCCAGUGUAUCUCAAAUUCUUGUACUUAUCUUUUCCUGAUGGAGCAUUUUUUUCACAGGCCUAAGUAGCUUUAAAGAGUAACAUCAUUUUAUACGUAAUUCCCUCCUAGGUUUUAUUUAGUUGGCAGUAAACUCUCUUUUUUUUUGCUCUUUUUGUCAAAAGUGAAUGAAAAAAAGAAAAAAGGAUGUACAUUAUUUGUUACUUCAUUUUUUAUGGUCGUGGCAUCAAUACACUAAUACAUCUUUCGCGCCAUCAAAUAGAAACAAAACUGGCUCUCUUCCUUCCUGUUGUUGCCAAAGCAGGAAGUAGAAUGUUACACCAAAUACAUUAACUUAUUUUUCCAAGUAUAUGUAGCUCAUCGUCAUUCUAAUGUAUCACAAUCGGUCUGUCGUAUGCAAGUGAUACAGCCAAUGUCUAGACAUUUUACAGUUAAUGUUGCACAAAAAUUACAUUAGACACAUCAUGAAAGUCUAUUAUCCAUUCCUUAGUGCACUCUACAUAGUUUGUAAUAUGCAUUUUAAAAUUUACUGAGUCCUCGGAAAGUUUUUUUUUAUUGUUGCUUGUGUGCAAAAAAGUUAAUAGUCAAUUUUUUUUUGUGCCAUCGUGAUUAUAAUGCAAUAUCCAAUAUGUACAUUAU